Molecule: transfer RNA, 73 nt
Filed under: marine bacterium AO1-C
Lineage: Bacteria; Pseudomonadati; Bacteroidota; Cytophagia; Cytophagales; Cytophagaceae
Source: Rfam by way of RNAcentral
GUGGGACUAGUUUAUCCGGCGAAAACUCCUAUCUGGCUGAUAGAAGAGAACGGUUCGAGUCCGUUGUCCUACA